GGAAAUCUCAUCAGGCCCGGACACUGGAAGGAUUGACAGAUUGAUACCUCUUUCUUGAUUCUGUGGGUGGUGGUGCAUGGCCGUUCUUAGUUGGUGGAGUGAUUUGUCGGCUUAAUUUGACUCAACGCGGGAAAUCUCACCAGGCCCGGACACUGGAAGGAUUGACAGAUUGAUAGCUCUUUCUUGUUAGCAAUAA
Molecule: ribosomal RNA, 196 nt
Filed under: uncultured eukaryote
Lineage: Eukaryota
Description: partial 18S ribosomal RNA
Rfam family: Eukaryotic small subunit ribosomal RNA
Source: RNAcentral